UGGGGAAUUUUGGACAAUGGGCGAAAGCCUGAUCCAGCAAUGCCGCGUGUGUGAAGAAGGCCUUCGGGUUGUAAAGCACUUUUGUCCGGAAAGAAAUCCUUGGCUCUAAUACAGUCGGGGGAUGACGGUACCGGAAGAAUAAGCACCGGCUAACUACGUGCCAGCAGCCGCGGUAAUACGUAGGGUGCAAGCGUUAAUCGGAAUUACUGGGCGUAAAGCGUGCGCAGGCGGUUUGCUAAGACCGAUGUGAAAUCCCCGGGCUCAACCUGGGAACUGCAUUGGUGACUGGCAGGCUAGAGUAUGGCAGAGGGGGGUAGAAUUCCACGUGUAGCAGUGAAAUGCGUAGAGAUGUGGAGGAAUACCGAUGGCGAAGGCAGCCCCCUGGGCCAAUACUGACGCUCAUGCACGAAAGCGUGGGGGAGCAAACAGGAUUAGAUACCCUGGUAGUCCACGCCCUAAACGAUGUCAACUAGUUGUUGGGGAUUCAUUUCCUUAGUAACGUAGCUAACGCGUGAAGUUGACCGCCUGGGGGAGUACGGUCGCAAGAUUAAAACUCAAAUGAAUUGAC
Molecule: ribosomal RNA, 568 nt
Filed under: uncultured bacterium
Lineage: Bacteria
Description: partial 16S ribosomal RNA
Rfam family: Bacterial small subunit ribosomal RNA
Source: RNAcentral